CUUGAACACUGAAUUGAUCUAUUGCAGUUUAAGUAUAUCAUAAUAUCUGCUACCUCUUUUUGUUCUGACUUAAUUAUUAGUUGUUUUGUUUGUUUGUUUUUUGUUCCAUGUCAGCUUGCUGAGACACAUGUGACUGGGUAUGUGUUUUUUUUUUCUUUUCUCUCUAACCUAGCAAGCUUUGACAGCACUGGAAAGCGUUCUUUGUGAAUUUUCCACACAUGGGUUUGGGGAUGGUUUGUCCCACGGUCUGUCGCUAAGAUAUUCUGUUCAUUUUCUCAUAGAAGGACAUUAGGCCUGGGUUGACGGAGAAAUCUUCUAGCCACUUUGUAAACUGUAUUUGUGUUUGGUGCCACGGGAUCUCAAACGCAAUGCAAGGUUCUAGCUGGUGCCUCUUUAGGGAUCUGGCAACCCAAAGAAGGAAUUUAUCUGGAUGGGCCUGGCCUUAACUGGGAAGUGUCCGACGG
This is a long non-coding RNA of Fundulus heteroclitus (mummichog), 464 nucleotides long. RefSeq lists it as uncharacterized. NCBI's taxonomy places the organism in Eukaryota, Metazoa, Chordata, Actinopteri, Cyprinodontiformes, Fundulidae. The record is from RefSeq and is a predicted model, not a curated record. The transcript is spliced from 3 exons.